Molecule: ribosomal RNA, 503 nt
Filed under: uncultured bacterium
Lineage: Bacteria
Description: partial 16S ribosomal RNA
Rfam family: Bacterial small subunit ribosomal RNA
Source: RNAcentral
ACUCAAAGGAAUUGACGGGGGCUCACACAAGCGGUGGAGGAUGUGGCUUAAUUCGAGGCUACGCGAAGAACCUUAUCCUAGUCUUGACAUGCUUGAGAACCCUCCUGAAAGGGAGGGGUGCCCGCAAGGGAGCUCUUGCACAGGUGCUGCAUGGCUGUCGUCAGCUCGUGUCGUGAGAUGUCGCGUUAAGUCGCUUAACGAGCGAAACCCUUGUCCUUAGUUGCCAGCGGGUAAUGCCGGGGACUCUAGGGAGACUGCCGGUGUUAAACCGGAGGAAGGUGGGGAUGACGUCAAGUCCUCAUGGCCUUUAUGAUUAGGGCUGCACACGUCCUACAAUGGCGCACACAAAGGGAAGCAAACUCGUGAGAGCCAGCAAAUCCCAAAAAAUGCGCCCCAGUUCGGAUUGCAGGCUGCAACCCGCCUGCAUGAAGCCGGAAUCGCUAGUAAUCGCGGGUCAGCAUACCGCGGUGAAUGUGUUCCUGAGCCUUGCACACACCGCCCGU